UCCGCGGCCGAACGCAAUGCGGCCGUGGAAUGCGCUGGGCGAGAGAAGCAGGAGGUGCGGGUGGCGGAGGUACAGCAAGAGCUCCGGGCUCUCGUGGAGAAACACGAGAGUUUGGAGCGUGACUCGAAGACUCGAGAGUCCGAGCUUGCGUCGGCUCUUGAGAGUGCCAAAGCCGCUAAGGCCGAAGCCCACAAGGCCCUCCAGGAAAUUGAGGCAUUGAAGAAGAUAGCGACGGGAGCGUUCGCAGAUCUGCCCCGUAGCGUAUCUGAUGCUGCUGCUUUCUACAGAGCCGAGGAGGGGAGCUCGACCGAGAAGGUGUUCUGGUCUCAGUAUGCUGAGGCGGGACAUCCGGUGCCCCUUAGCGACCAGCUGAAGCAGCUGGUCGAGCUCCACAAGGUGGCCGAACAGGCCAUGAAGGGCCUCAUAGUUCGGCUGUGGCCCAAAGAGGCCAUGCCUGGGAGCUACUUCGGCCUGGUGUGGCGGCUGGUGGACGCUUGUCCAUGGGUUGAGGUCAUCAAGCACUCCACCUGCAUUGAAGGUGCCCGUCGGGCCCUUGCCCGUGCUAAGGUGCACUGGGGCAAGAUGGACGCUGAGAAGCUUGUGACGGACGCGCCACCGCCGGGCAAGGAGUAUCGCACGCCCGAGAUGUAUUAUAAGGGUGUCCUGAAGGGUGCCCGCAUUAUUGCGGAUGAGUGCUCCAAAGAUGUAAUAUUUGAGUAG
RNAcentral lists this ribosomal RNA (720 nucleotides) under Triticum aestivum (bread wheat). RNAcentral describes it as "partial small subunit ribosomal RNA". The record is from RNAcentral. Lineage: Eukaryota; Viridiplantae; Streptophyta; Magnoliopsida; Poales; Poaceae.